GCCAGUAUGGUGGUUAUGACAUUCGACUUGUAAUCGAAUAGGCUUGGGUUCGAAUCCCGAAUAGGCA
Molecule: transfer RNA, 67 nt
Filed under: Trichonephila clavata
Lineage: Eukaryota; Metazoa; Arthropoda; Arachnida; Araneae; Nephilidae
Rfam family: tRNA
About the family: Transfer RNA (tRNA) molecules are approximately 80 nucleotides in length. Their secondary structure includes four short double-helical elements and three loops (D, anti-codon, and T loops). Further hydrogen bonds mediate the characteristic L-shaped molecular structure. tRNAs have two regions of fundamental functional importance: the anti-codon, which is responsible for specific mRNA codon recognition, and the 3' end, to which the tRNAs corresponding amino acid is attached (by aminoacyl-tRNA synthetases). tRNAs cope with the degeneracy of the genetic code in two manners: having more than one tRNA (with a specific anti-codon) for a particular amino acid; and 'wobble' base-pairing, i.e. permitting non-standard base-pairing at the 3rd anti-codon position.
Source: Rfam by way of RNAcentral